RNAcentral lists this ribosomal RNA (229 nucleotides) under uncultured bacterium. RNAcentral describes it as "partial 16S ribosomal RNA". It matches the Rfam family "Bacterial small subunit ribosomal RNA", at positions 568 to 796 of the family's 1533-position model. The record is from RNAcentral.
UGCGUAGGCGGGCGUCUAAGUCAGUGGUGAAAUCUUACAGCUCAACUGUAAAAUUGCCAUUGAUACUGGAUGUCUUGAAUUAGUGUGAAGUGGUUAGAAUGUGUAGUGUAGCGGUGAAAUGCAUAGAUAUUACACAGAAUACCAAUUGCGAAGGCAGAUCACUAACACUAUAUUGACGCUGAGGGACGAAAGCGUGGGGAGCGAACAGGAUUAGAUACCCUGGUAGUCC